AGCUUCUUUCUGCCAAGAUGAGCUGCGGUAGUCCUUUUCCUCCCUCCCCUCCUUUCUUUCUUCCCUCGUUUCUUUUCUUUUUCUUCCAUGUCAUUACGGAGAAGGGCACUGGAGGCUUACUGAAGAGCUUUGAGAAAUAGCAUAGAAGGCCCAGAGCAUUACUUGUUUCCAGAUGAUCAAGCUAAGGCUGUACCCUGGCUAUGAAUAGCCCAGCCUCCUGUGGUGUCCAAGCCUGGAGAGAUUCUGUCUCAUUCACUCCUGGUAGACUGGUUAACCCGGCCACAGGCUCCUUUUGCCUUCAG
Molecule: long non-coding RNA, 302 nt
Filed under: Homo sapiens (human)
Lineage: Eukaryota; Metazoa; Chordata; Mammalia; Primates; Hominidae
Description: HSALNT0362147
Source: RNAcentral